RNAcentral lists this transfer RNA (84 nucleotides) under Synechococcaceae cyanobacterium SM2_3_1. RNAcentral describes it as "tRNA-Leu". It matches the Rfam family "tRNA". Rfam says of the family: Transfer RNA (tRNA) molecules are approximately 80 nucleotides in length. Their secondary structure includes four short double-helical elements and three loops (D, anti-codon, and T loops). The record is from RNAcentral. Lineage: Bacteria; Bacillati; Cyanobacteriota; Cyanophyceae; Synechococcales; Synechococcaceae.
GGGGGCAUGGCGGAAUGGUAGACGCUGCGGACUUAAAAUCCGUUGAUCGAUGAGAUCGUGAGGGUUCAAGUCCCUCUGCCCCCA